UACGGAGGGGGCUAGCGUUGUUCGGAAUUACUGGGCGUAAAGCGUGUGUAGGCGGCCUCGUAGGUCGGAUGUGAAAGCUCUCGGCUCAACCGGGAAAGUGCAUUCGAAACCACGAGGCUUGAGUGUAGGAGAGGAAGGCGGAAUUGUCGGUGUAGAGGUGAAAUUCGUAGAUAUCGACAGGAACACCUGCGGCGAAAGCGGCCUUCUGGACGAACACUGACGCUGAGACACGAAAGCGUGGGGAGCAAACAGG
This 253-nucleotide ribosomal RNA is filed under the name uncultured bacterium. RNAcentral describes it as "partial 16S ribosomal RNA". It matches the Rfam family "Bacterial small subunit ribosomal RNA", at positions 524 to 776 of the family's 1533-position model. The record is from RNAcentral.